This 69-nucleotide transfer RNA is filed under the name Liparis gibbus (variegated snailfish). Its description in RNAcentral is "tRNA-Ile". It matches the Rfam family "tRNA". Rfam says of the family: Transfer RNA (tRNA) molecules are approximately 80 nucleotides in length. Their secondary structure includes four short double-helical elements and three loops (D, anti-codon, and T loops). Lineage: Eukaryota; Metazoa; Chordata; Actinopteri; Perciformes; Liparidae. The record is from RNAcentral. RNAcentral also lists the same sequence under 1 other name.
GGAAUUGUGCCUGAAAAAAGGAUCACUUUGAUAGAGUGCUUUAUGUGGGUUAAAGUCCCACCAACUCCU